Molecule: ribosomal RNA, 480 nt
Filed under: uncultured bacterium
Lineage: Bacteria
Description: bacterial SSU rRNA
Rfam family: Bacterial small subunit ribosomal RNA
Source: RNAcentral
AUUGAACGCUGGCGGAAUGCUUUACACAUGCAAGUCGAACGGUAGAGGGGGCAACCCCUCGAGAGUGGCGAACGGGUGAGUAAUAUAUCGGAACGUGCCCAGUCGUGGGGGAUAACGUAGUGAAAAUUACGCUAAUACCGCAUACGAUCUAAGGAUGAAAGCGGGGGAUCGCAAGACCUCGCGCGAUUGGAGCGGCCGAUAUCAGAUUAGGUAGUUGGUAGGGUAAAGGCCUACCAAGCCAACGAUCUGUAGCUGGUCUGAGAGGACGACCAGCCACACUGGAACUGAGACACGGUCCAGACUCCUACGGGAGGCAGCAGUGGGGAAUUUUGGACAAUGGGCGAAAGCCUGAUCCAGCCAUUCCGCGUGCAGGAUGAAGGCCCUCGGGUUGUAAAGCUCUUUCGCAAGGGAAGAAACGAUGCCGACGAAUAAUCGGUGUUAAUGACGGUACCUUGAUAAGAAGCACCGGCUAACUACGUG